GCCUGGCCCUAUUCUUAACCUGGUGAAAAGAUGCUUUAUCCUCAAAAGGCUGAAAUAAAGGGUUUGCCUUCCCAGAAACCCUCUCUUCUCAGUGGGAAUCCGUGGGCCUUUGGGUCUGUAGUGUCCACGUGUCACUCAGUCCACAACAACUCCAAGCAAAUCGCUCUUAUAUAUUGAGCUCUUAACCAUUUUCUAAUAGCCCAAUGUCAGCAGACCUUCCUCCAAUCUGUGGUUGUUAAAAAGGUGCUCGCGGACAGGACGGGGAGCAGGGCACCUGCUGGGAAUUUAGUAGUACAAAUCCUCUCCACACCCUAGGCCACCUCAAUCAGACACUCUGAAGGUGGCCCCCAGCAGUGUGUGUUUUAAGCCCUCCCUGAUUGUGACGCAGGGAGAAGUUUGAGAUUCACUGCCCCAACCUAGACACCCAACACUUUGCUCACUCAAGAAAAUUAACUUCCAGUCCGUCUUCCAGGAUGGAGGGGCAAUGCAGCAUUAGUUUGCUGCCUCAGCAAAGUGCCACAGAUUGGGUGGCUUAAGCAACUAACUUUUUUUUUCACAGUUCUGUCAACAAGUUCGUAGAGGACAGUCUUCCUCCUGUGUCUUCACAUUGUCCUUCCUCUGUGUGCUGGUGUCCUGAUCUUUUUUUAUAAGAACACCCGUCAUUGGAUCAGGGCCCACCCAUAUGACCUCAGUUUACUUUAAUUACCUCUUUAAAACGCUGUCUCCAAACACAGUCGCACUUUGAGAUCCUGGAUGUUAGAGCUUCGAUAUUUGAGGGAGGAGGAUGGGAAGGGGGACAAGAGGACACAAUUCAGUUCCUAACAGGUAGUUCCCAGAUAAGCUACUGCUGACAGUUCCUGAGCCUGGGCUGGGGCAUGAGUAUGGAGUUUCUGUGGUAUAAAUCUGAUCACCUCUUCGCUUUCCCUAUGACAUUUGUUUAGGAUUCAACUUUCUCAAGUCUGACAAAUCAACUACCACACUUCAAACGCCUUUCCAGAUAAUAAUAUUUUGUUCUCUCCUGACCUUUUGAUCCUAUUUGAACACGUUUUAGAGUUGUUUUGAGUGGGAUUUUUGGAAUUCACAAAAGUGAAUUCUUGUCUUAAAUCUACAAUCUUUACCUAAAAGCACUGUAAGGCAGCAGAGGUUUCCUGGGGAUAUAAAGCAAACCAGCUCUAUCUUUUCCUCUCCUUCAUUUCUCAGCACCUGGUCUGGCCCUUCUCCCUGAUUCCCAUCAAAAGAUGAAGUGCUCUAUUAGUUAUUGCAGCAUCAGAUUCCUCUCCCUGGCAGUUAUGUAGGUUGUAACUUUAUAGACUUUUUUUGCCAUUAGGUUCAAUUUGUUUUCCCAACCAGACGAUAAGGUUUCUCCUAGUUUGCAGUAAGUUUUCAUUCUGUUACGAGAGUGAUGUUAUUUUAUUUGAACAAAUUUGCUAAAUACACCUUUAGGACCGUAGCAGGACCACGUGGCCUAAUGGAUAAGGCGUCUGACUUCGGAUCAGAAGAUUGAGGGUUCGAAUCCCUUCGUGGUUGCUGUGGGGUUUACCUUAUGGUUACUGAAACCAGUUCCAAAUUUUCGUGCUGACCACCCCACUAUUUAUUACCUCAUUUUUUUGGUUACAGUCAGUAAUCAGAAACCCCCUUUUCACUGUAACAGUUUCAUCCUCAAUGUAUUUCCUCUCCACACCCCUUCUUUACUUUUUGUUUCUUUUCACCCGUUCUGUCUCUUCACAGCAUCUCCAACAGUCGGUUCUCCCGGUCUGCCCUUCUCAAAAUUUGGAACGCGGAUCAGUGGCAACAUCUGGGAGCUUCUUAGAAAUGCAAACUUUCUCAGCCAGUCCCAGUUUCCUCUCAACGCUACCCUUGAACUACAGAAUUAGAAGUUUAGGAGUGGGACCCAGGAAUCCAACUUCCAGUCUCAACUUGGCAGUACAAAUCGAACAAACAAAAACGCUGUGUUCCGGUUUUUUGCAUCUGGAAAUGAACUGACUCCUUCCGUGGUUGGCAGGAGUAGGCACAUUGUUCUUGAAGGACUUUCCUUGGACAACAGUUCAGGCUUUACUCUUGCUUCUUCUGGGAUUUCUCCUGCUGGCUGCACCUGGUGUCAUCUGGAAAUGUUGCCGGGAGAAAGAGCAAGAAUGCUGGACCAAAGGCAAAGCAAUCAGAAGACCGAGCCAGUGUGAGUCCAAAGAAGACUAUGGAAGAAGGAUUGGACAGAGGAGAAGGGAGAGGACCAGGAUGAAGAGGAUCAAAGGGAUUUGCAGUUGAGAGAAACUCCGAGAGCUUUGUAAGUCCUGUGCCACCCUCUCCCGUGUGUACGAUCUGAGAGCCUCUCCUGUGCCCUUUCUCUCAUGAGGUUUCUUUGUUCUACUUCAGGCUGGAGAAAAGCCCAGAAAGUGGAUGGUGAGUAAAUGGGAGUUUUUGUUUUUCAUCGAAGACUGCUUCAUUUAAUAGGUGCUUUUAUUCUGAUCCUUUCCUCCGAGGCCUUGCUCACUCUUAACACAAUCUGGACUUAAUGCCUAUAGUCCAGCCACUCUGCUCACACCUCAUGGAUGCCCCAAACGUUUUUCGAAUCUGUGGCCAAAACUGAACUCCAUCUCCUUCCCUGUCAACCUGCCCUUCCUCCUCUAUACCCCUGCUGCAGGUGCUGCCACCACUCACCCGAGUGGGCUCCUUUCUCUCCUCUCUUCGGGGCAACUCCUUUUACUGCUUAGCCCCAGACCCCUUCUCAGGCAGAGACUACAUCUCCCAAUCUUUCUUCUUUUAUCACAGAUCCCUGGUACUAGAUUACCAAGGCCCUUCUCUUAACAGCAAGCUGCUUCCAUUCCCCUAAGAGCUACUGCUGCCCUUUUCCUUUUUAAGACUUUUUGUCUAGGGAGUUCCCUGGUGGCCUAGCGAUUAAGAACCUAGCAUUGUCACUGCUGUGGUUCGACUCCAAUCCCUGGCCUCAGAACUUCCACAUGCUGCUGUUUUUGAAGUUUGUAUCAUUGACCAUAGCCUCCAGUUUGCUAAAACAGAAAUCUGAUUACAUUCCUCUAAAUUCCUAAAACUUCCGCAGCUUCCCAUUGCCUUUUGCUGUCUUAUCAGGAUGGGGAAUGAUAUGGACAUUUGUAAAUUCUAAAAGAAUUUUCAAAUUUUUGUGAAAAAUUGUCUUGGAGUUCCAUUGUGGCUCAGUGGGUUAUGAACCUGGCUAGCA
Molecule: non-coding RNA, 3190 nt
Organism: Sus scrofa (pig)
Lineage: Eukaryota; Metazoa; Chordata; Mammalia; Artiodactyla; Suidae
Source: RefSeq, a predicted model, not a curated record